This 72-nucleotide transfer RNA is filed under the name Camelus bactrianus (Bactrian camel). It matches the Rfam family "tRNA". Rfam says of the family: Transfer RNA (tRNA) molecules are approximately 80 nucleotides in length. Their secondary structure includes four short double-helical elements and three loops (D, anti-codon, and T loops). Further hydrogen bonds mediate the characteristic L-shaped molecular structure. tRNAs have two regions of fundamental functional importance: the anti-codon, which is responsible for specific mRNA codon recognition, and the 3' end, to which the tRNAs corresponding amino acid is attached (by aminoacyl-tRNA synthetases). tRNAs cope with the degeneracy of the genetic code in two manners: having more than one tRNA (with a specific anti-codon) for a particular amino acid; and 'wobble' base-pairing, i.e. permitting non-standard base-pairing at the 3rd anti-codon position. The record is from Rfam by way of RNAcentral. RNAcentral also lists the same sequence under 2 other names. Lineage: Eukaryota; Metazoa; Chordata; Mammalia; Artiodactyla; Camelidae.
GAGGGUAUAGGUCAGUGGUAGAGCGCGUGCUUAGCAUGCACAGAGUCCUGGGUUCAAUCCCCAGUACCUCCA